GAUGAACGCUGGCGGCGUGCCUAACACAUGCAAGUCGAGCGAUUCUCUUCGGAGAAGAGCGGCGGACGGGUGAGUAACGCGUGGGUAACCUGCCCUGUACACACGGAUAACAUACCGAAAGGUAUGCUAAUACGAGAUAAUAUGCUUUUAUCGCAUGGUAGAAGUAUCAAAGCUCCGGCGGUACAGGAUGGACCCGCGUCUGAUUAGCUAGUUGGUAAGGUAACGGCUUACCAAGGCGACGAUAAGUAGCCGACCUGAGAGGGUGAUCGGCCACCUUGGAACGGAGACACGGUGCAAACUCCUACGGGAGGCAGCGGUGGGGAAUAUUGCACAAUGGGCGAAAGCCUGAUGCAGCAACGCCGCGUGAGCGAUGAAGGCCUUCGGGUCGUAAAGCUCUGUCCUCAAGGAAGAUAAUGACGGUACUUGAGGAGGAAGCCCCGGCUAACUACGUGCCAGCCGCCGCGGUAA
RNAcentral lists this ribosomal RNA (468 nucleotides) under uncultured bacterium. Its description in RNAcentral is "partial 16S ribosomal RNA". It matches the Rfam family "Bacterial small subunit ribosomal RNA", at positions 28 to 523 of the family's 1533-position model. The record is from RNAcentral.